This 75-nucleotide antisense RNA is filed under the name Kutzneria viridogrisea DSM 43870. Its description in RNAcentral is "Kutzneria albida DSM 43870 ASpks TB sRNA". It matches the Rfam family "ASpks TB sRNA". Lineage: Bacteria; Bacillati; Actinomycetota; Actinomycetes; Pseudonocardiales; Pseudonocardiaceae. The record is from Rfam by way of RNAcentral.
CUUGACCGAACCCAGCCACAGCGGGCGGUCGUCCGGGUGGUCCUGGCCGUAGGUGGCCAGCAGGGCCUGGGCCUC